UUGUGCACCCCACCAGGGAGAGGGGCACAGAGACCAGAGGUGCAUGCAGGGGUGUUAAAGCAAUUUUAUUUCAUUCUCUACAAAUUUUGCACGUGCUGUGCCCUUUACCUAGGGGUAGUUUAGGGAAUUUCUCUCCUAGGGCAGCUCUUCCACUGCCCAGGAAUGCACCGGGAAGCUUCCCUGGUCGGAUGCAGCUCUGGAGAGAGACGCGUCCCAUCUUAGCAAAUGAGAAAAAGGCAAAAUAAGACGCUUGGACAUCUACGUCAUGGCUGGAAUUGUUCACCAGAGGUGAAAUAAGUCUGUGCUGGGAGGGUGAACCACGGAGCUGCGUGCUGGAACGUGAAUGUGGGCAGCCUCCCAGCCCCUCUGCACGCCCCUAGGUCCGGAGGAGAGGCGUGGAUGCUCGCAGUCCAGCUUAACUCUCAUCUCAGUCCCCACCAUCAUCCCUUCCCUUUCCAAAAACAAGAGGAAGAGUAACUAUUGCAAAUACCUUGCUGAUUUGCUUGCUUGUAAGGGGUUGGCUGUUGCAUACUUCUCCCAAGCCAGGCUAGAUCUGCACCUUGGUGAUCAGAAGAGCGGGGCUGGGGCUGCCGUGGCCUCAGACCUUUCAGUGGAGCUGUGAGAAUCACGCCUUGGAGCAUCGCAGGGUCCUGGAUUCACUCAUAGCACAACUUCCAGCUUCUGGCUGUUCCUGCAACUUGUGCGUUCUUCAAACGGGGGGGAAACGCCGAUGUCUCUCGCUUACCAUCACGGGCCGUUGCCCCAGCAUCAUCACCCCAUAAACAUGUCAACAGUGAAAUGCAAACCAAAUUACACUGGAGAAGCACAGCCAUAGUCAGAGCCACGUUAGCCGGGUUGCUGCUCAGCCUGUAAUUGAAACUGCAACGAGCAAAUGGUCGAGAGAGGCUGAAGGACUCCAGGGCUCCUCGUCAUGGGGUGAGAUGCAGCUCAGGGUGUGCUGGGACCUGUGCUGCACCUCUUCGUGGGCUUGGGUCCCAUGGUAGUGAUUGGUGUUCCCAGCUCAUGGGGGGAAAAAGUUACUAAUUUUGGGACAGACCAACACCCCCACCCAACCACGAGGCCAAGCAGCCUGGUGGCAGGCACAGAAGCGGCAUGGUGCACUGCUGGCCGGGCAGCCCCUUGGCUAUGGCAGCGGCAGCACUCAGCUGUCAAGACGAAGUGCCAACCCAUAAAAAAAACGUCAAGCGAAGAGCCAGGCUGCUCUCCAGGCUGCCCUCUGCAUACUAGUGGGUCCCGCGUGCCGCUGCCCAUUGUCAUCGUGGGGUCUAUGUCAUCCUUUCUUCGCUGACCCUGAUGUAUCUCCUCCACUCCGAGCCCCGCGGUGGCCGGCAGCAUGAGUCACGGCUGCCCUCCGCGGCCCUUCCCCUCCAUCCUUCUCAGCACCCAGAAAACCAGAAAUCUUACUGGAGGACAGGAAGCAUUUGCUAACACCCCAUUUAAUGCAUUUUUUUUUUUUUUUGAAGAGCAAUGGAGGAGUUGAGGGGAAAAGCAAGAAUUGCAGGAAUUGCUCAUUCCAUUUCCUGUGGUUUCAUAAUUUUGUUGCUUACCAAUUUUGAAUUUCACGAAGCUUGUGGUUUCCCAACAGCCUUCGUCUGUGGGGAGGAUACAUUUCAGUAGCAUACUGAACUGACAUGAAAUUCCAAACAAAAAUAAUAUGACAGCAAUUGGCAUUCUAAACUAUGUGAAAAAGAAAUACAAAUACCCCGCUGGCUGAGUUUGGCCCAGACGAAGGAAGCAAAGCAAAACAUCCCAAUGUCAGCAGGUUGCUUCUGAGCCCUCAGAAACUGAGAUUGUCUGAGAUCCUUGGUCCCCUUCUACGUGUGAAUUAUGGCCAAGGGUGGGCUGGGGGCGUUGUAGCCACUCUGCCCCACAACUGAGCGCUGGCUCCCGGGAGCGGAAAGCGCCCGAUUGCAUGUUGGAAAACCACCGUGUGUUUCCACUGACCGUGGGUGCUGGCAGCAGCCAGGUUGCAGUGGGUGGCAGGAAGGAAGUGGAGGGGGCUUUGGUGUGGUUUUUGCCCCCCAAAUGAAAAAGAAGAGGUUUGCACUUGGCAUCCUCUGGCUGUGUUUCUCUGCCCUUGGGGUGCACCCACAGCCCGGGGCAUGGCUCUGUGCUCACCGUGCUGGGUUGUUGCUCCACGGUGAUCACAGGCACAACGAUGAAAGGCAACCAGGAAAGAGAAACAUGUCCUGCUAAAUAAACAGAGGAGCAGGAGCAUGCUGUGAUGAUGCUUUACAUCAGCCUGGGCACAGGCAGAGACAUCACGAUGAGCAGUGCUGCUGAGCCAGGCCGGGGAUCCUCUGCACUGGGAGCUUGUGUGGAGGAGCCAGGUGGGUGCUCCAGGGAAGCUCCAUCCUGCUGCAGCCCAAGUGGGGCUUGGGGAUGCCAACAGAGGGAGUCCUGGUGGCCUUGGACCAGAUCUGUAAUGAAUGAGACCCUCUGCGAUGUUCCCUGCUGACCUCAGAAGCUGUAAGGUGAGCCUCGUGUGAUCCCGUAGUGCUGGGACAGAAUUAAAAUCUGUUCUAAGUGUCCUGCUGGAACAGUCCGCAGAUCGCAGUUGAUUCGAUACAGUAAUAGCUGCUAACAUCCUCCCCUGGAAACUGCUGGAGAUUUAGCUUGUGUUUAUUGAAAAUAAACUCAGAGGUGAAGAGAAGCCUAUUGGUGACAUGAACUUGCAGCGAAGAAAAUACAUUUGUGAGCUCAGAAUUUAUAGCCUGCCUCCAUAAAGCUGUCCAGAAUCUGUGGAUCUUUGCUUUAGAUACUCAUGUUAAAAUAAUUUUCAUUCUGUUAAAUGAAAAGUGCUUUAAGUUUGGCAGGCCUGUGCUGCUCAUGCUCUCACCACUUCAUAAAUAAUUCUUUAUAAUAACAGCUCAGAAUAAAACAAAAAAAAAAAAUGGGGGGGGGAAAGGGGGGCCAAGGUCUGCUCCAAGCUCUCCUUGUCGGCUGUAAAUACCUCUCGCUAUGAUGUCAGCGUCGCUCUGACAGCAUAUCUGCCCAAAUCACUACCACAUGUGUAGCCAGGGGAUGUGUUUUACCUGGACUUUCCAC
Long non-coding RNA from Oxyura jamaicensis (ruddy duck), 3069 nucleotides. RefSeq lists it as uncharacterized. The transcript has 2 exons. NCBI's taxonomy places the organism in Eukaryota, Metazoa, Chordata, Aves, Anseriformes, Anatidae. The record is from RefSeq and is a predicted model, not a curated record.